UGGUUCUGGCAUCGAUGAAGAACGCAGCGAAAUGCGAUAAGUAAUGUGAAUUGCAGAAUUCAGUGAAUCAUCGAAUCUUUGAACGCAUAUUGCGCCCUUUGGCAUUCCGAGGGGCAUGCCUGUUCGAGCGUCAUUACACCACUCAAGCCCGGCUUGGUAUUGGGCGACGGGGUCACCCCCGCGCCCCAAUUUCGCCGGCUGGAACGACCCAAAUCUCAGCGUUGUGGCAUACGAAUUCGCUGGCGAGGGCGGCGGUCCGGCCGUUAAACUUCUAUCAAGGUUGACCUCGGAUCAGGUAGGGAUACCCGCUGA
Molecule: unclassified non-coding RNA, 312 nt
Filed under: uncultured fungus
Lineage: Eukaryota; Fungi
Description: partial contains 5.8S ribosomal RNA and internal transcribed spacer 2
Rfam family: 5.8S ribosomal RNA (bases 1-133)
Source: RNAcentral